GUGAACCCCUAACUCUAGAAUGCUUUCAUUCUUUGAUAUUUCAGUUUAGCUAAUUAGUUCUCUUUUACUUUUAAGCAAUAAUUAGUUUAGUUUAUAUAUAUUCAUUCUCUCGAAUUCAAUAGUCUAGGUAAUUAUAAUUAGUAUGUAGUUUGGUACUCAAGCACGUUCCUCAUGGGAACGAUAAUUACUCAUCACUCUAUUACUUGUCACGAUCCAUGUACUUGCAAGAUUU
Molecule: unclassified non-coding RNA, 232 nt
Filed under: Hevea brasiliensis (rubber tree)
Lineage: Eukaryota; Viridiplantae; Streptophyta; Magnoliopsida; Malpighiales; Euphorbiaceae
Source: RNAcentral